CAUUAUGGGACAUUAAACGUGUAGAGGCAGAGGUGAGAAAAUGUAGCGUUAUUUGUGGCGUAAAUGCUCGCGCAUCUACGCAAUUUCCUUGUGUGGGAGAGAGACAAACAGACCUUCUGUUCUCUAAUAGACAGCUCACGUCACACCAACCAGAUGUCUGAUAUUCCGUGCAGGAAAGGUUAGAGCAGGUAGUUUGAAGUUUUUUGUGUAGGCUCUAUCUACCGGGACAGCUCACCGGCGCCGCAGACAACAUUUAAUUCCAGCCAUCGUGUAAAGGUCAUCAGCGAUCAUCUCCUAUGUUUGAAACAAUUGUAGUGAACAUGACGAGUUUGAAGGCGUUCACCGAGCCGUUUGGGAGAGUGGCUUCUGAACCGGUGGAGGACACUGACCCCAGCAGCUUCAUUACAGAUAUGUCUCUGAGGUCACAUUACCCCAUUCAGGACACUGAUCCACAAGCUAUCAGAGAUCCUGUAACCCUACAGCUCAGCUCUGGUCCCCCUGGAUAUUUGUCAUCAGCGGUGGACAGGAUACGACAAGUGAGUCUUUCAAUUACCAUCUUCCACUGGAAAGGAGUUGGGUCUGAUCACUUUCUAUCAUUAUUUGCCGGAGUCACGUACACAUUUCCAACAACAUCCUUAUUUAUAGAUUCAGACCACUCACUGUGUGGUAUACUGAUUCUUAAAGGGAUAGUUCACACAAAAAUGAAAAUUAUGUCAUUAAUGACUCACCCUCAUGUCGUUCCAAACCCGUAAGACCUCCGUUCAUCUUCGGAACACAGUCUAAGAUAUUUUAGAUUUAGUCCGAGAGCUUUCUGUUCCUCCAUUGAAAAUGUAUGUACGGUAUACUGUCCAUGUCCAGAAAGGUAAUAAAAACAUCUUCAAAGUAGUCCA
Molecule: long non-coding RNA, 890 nt
Organism: Cyprinus carpio (common carp)
Lineage: Eukaryota; Metazoa; Chordata; Actinopteri; Cypriniformes; Cyprinidae
Source: Ensembl